CAAUUAUUCUGAAGGAAGAAGAAUUAUUUCUUCCUAGUCUAAUCCCAACCUCUAAUGUGCCCCGUCAUGUCCUCCUCCCCUCCGCGGACCCGGUAGCUAGCUCUCCCGUACGUAGGCCAUCUCUCCGCCCGUGACCACCACCAAGAGGCGUCCCCGGCAGAGAUCAACGACGGCGGCAGGGGCGCUUCCCGACGUCUCAACUCUCAAGAGAGGAUCAACCCCUACGAUGAAGCUCAUUGAUGGCUUAGUGUUGAAUGUGCUUAAGAGCAGAAGGCCAAUAUCAUCAAUUGGAAAAAUGACCACUUGAAGGGGCAACGUGGUCUCGUGAUGAAUUAUGCACUAUUAAUAGCUGGUUUGGUGCGAUGGUGUUUGUUUUGUCAUUUUGUUGGUAACUUAGUCGGCCAGCAUAAUAAUUCCCGGUGUUAAGUGGCAUGCGUAAGCGGGUGAAGGGAUUAUCUUUGUAAUGAACCUACUAGUUGUCACAGGAAUUGACAGAGCUAACCGACUUCCUCAUAAUUGAAAUGUCUUAUCUUCUAUAA
Molecule: long non-coding RNA, 539 nt
Organism: Triticum aestivum (bread wheat)
Lineage: Eukaryota; Viridiplantae; Streptophyta; Magnoliopsida; Poales; Poaceae
Exons: 2
Source: RefSeq, a predicted model, not a curated record